GAUGAACGCUGGCGGCGUGCUUAACACAUGCAAGUCGAACGGAAAGGCCCUGCUUUUGUGGGGUGCUCGAGUGGCGAACGGGUGAGUAACACGUGAGUAACCUGCCCUUGACUUUGGGAUAACUUCAGGAAACUGGGGCUAAUAUCGGAUAGGAUCUCCUGCUGCAUGGUGGGCGUUGGAAAGUUUCGGCGGUUGGGGAUGGACUCGCGGCUUAUCAGCUUGUUGGUGGGGUAGUGGCUUACCAAGGCGUUGACGGGUAGCCGGCCUGGGAGGGUGACCGGCUACAGAGGGAUAGGGGAGCGACCCGGACGCAAACGUGAGGCAGGGGUGGAAACUAUAGCACGCUGGGCGGAGGCCGGGAGGAGCAACGCCGGGUUCGAAAUGACGGCUUUUGGGUAGGAAACCGCUUUCGCCUGUGACGAAGCGUGAGGGAGGGAAAUGGGUAAAGAGGCACCGGUAAACUACGG
RNAcentral lists this ribosomal RNA (467 nucleotides) under uncultured bacterium. RNAcentral describes it as "partial 16S ribosomal RNA". It matches the Rfam family "Bacterial small subunit ribosomal RNA", at positions 28 to 506 of the family's 1533-position model. The record is from RNAcentral.